UUUUUGGCUUUAAAACCAUAGAUUAAGCCCCCAACCUCUCCUGAGGGUCGCUUUACACAAGUACUUUCUGUUGGAAUUGGAGGUUCUGCCCUUGGACCACAGUUUGUUGCAGAGGCGUUGGCUCCUGAUAAUCCUCCUCUCAAGAUAAGGUUCAUUGACAAUACAGAUCCAGCUGGCAUUGAUCAUCAGAUUGCACAGCUUGGCCCUGAGUUGGCUUCUACGCUUGUAAUAGUUAUAUCAAAGAGUGGAGGCACUCCAGAAACAAGAAAUGGUUUAUUGGAAGUACAAAAAGCAUUCCGUGAAGCUGGCCUAGAUUUUGCAA
Non-coding RNA from Camellia sinensis, 322 nucleotides. Lineage: Eukaryota; Viridiplantae; Streptophyta; Magnoliopsida; Ericales; Theaceae. The record is from RefSeq and is a predicted model, not a curated record.